UUCUCUUGACACUAGUAGCCAUUAUAUUCCUUCUUUUCUUGUAGACUGAGCACGAGAGAGCUCAUCUUUCUGUAUCGGAAUAUUUCUACUCAAUCCGAUAAGCAUUAACACUUUGUAAAGUAAAAGUCUUUAGACUCGCCACUUUAAAUCAUGAGAGCAAAGUGGCGUAAGAAGCGUAUGCGAAGGCUAAAACGUAAACGUAGGAAGAUGCGUGCAAGGUCUAAGUAAAAGGUACACUUGUGAGUGUGGAGUAUAUUAUCUAAUAAAUCCUUCUUACAUGUGUAUUUAAUAAAAAAUUAAAAAUC
Molecule: long non-coding RNA, 305 nt
Organism: Vanessa atalanta (red admiral)
Lineage: Eukaryota; Metazoa; Arthropoda; Insecta; Lepidoptera; Nymphalidae
Exons: 3
Source: RefSeq, a predicted model, not a curated record